GAGCAGUUUUCCCAGGAACCCGC
This 23-nucleotide microRNA is filed under the name Mus musculus (house mouse). Its description in RNAcentral is "mmu-miR-6402". Lineage: Eukaryota; Metazoa; Chordata; Mammalia; Rodentia; Muridae. The record is from miRBase by way of RNAcentral.